AAUCAGCUCAGCGCAUUACUAGCCUAGCCCCAAUCCCCACUCUGAAGUCGAACUCUCAUCUCAACUCUCAAACUCUUAAUCUGAAUCUCUCAAGUCUCAUCCCAAACCCAGAAUUCAGAUCUCGAAGACUGGAACUCAGAAUCGGAAGUCGGUGAGUCCUCCUCCCUUUCUUAAUUUCUUCUUGUCUUCUUUCUCUUCUUUUGCUGCAACUUCUUCGUCUCUUUUCUCUCGAUCUCUCAUUCGGUUUGAUAUUUUUUUUGUUUGUUUUUAUUUUAACCAAAUUUGGGUUGUAUACUGAGCCGAAUAUGAUUUUUUGCUGCCUGAUUUUGUUUGUUUUGUUCAACCCUUACUAUUUGUGAUCUGAUUUGGACGUGAGAAGGAGAGAAAUAGAGGUUUCAUUGUGAGAUGCACAUGGAUCGGGAGAGAAGAUUGUGAGGGAGUAGAUCCCGACAGCAGCGAUAGGGAGAUGAAAAGCAGAGACUGGGAGCAUAGAGAACAAACCUCGUGCAGUACAGUGUAUAUAUAUUCAAAAUAUAUUACUAAUCGAUUAGGUCGAUUUUGAUCAAAUAACUGAGUUGUUUAUGGUAAACUGAGUGUCGACCGAACUUACUUUGUUUUUUAGUUCUAAGAGCAACCGCUGCCACGAACUUAGCCAGUACAUGUUGGUUCAGAUUAAUUUGGUAAGCCGGCUCUCCUAGUUUUUCUGGUUUGUCAUAUUCCCCUAACUCAAGACUUAUGUUUCUACAUAUUGAGCUUGUCUCUCUUACUAACUGCAACCUUUUUUUCUUGGGAAAAUGGUGGUUUUCAAAUUUCAUUGUAUUGUAGAGAAGAAUUUUCAUUUUCAAAAUAUAGUCUUCUUUCAUUUUAUCAGGUUAUUUUGAUGGUUAGAUUUACUUUAGCAGCUUGUUAUAUUUUUGCGAAUUUAUCCUGGCAGCUUGAUAAUUUAAUCUGAACUAAGUGGUUGAUAUUUCUAUUUUAAUUGGACAUAUGAUAGUUACUUCAAACAAAUUACUUGAUUUAGGCUUUCAUUAUAAAUGAGAACUCAAUCUAAAGAAUAAGCUAGGUGAUCCAAGUCUAUUUCAUGGGGGCUUAGUUGGAAUAAAGCUGGGAUCCUUAAAUUAUUGGACUUAACAAGUGAAGCAAAAGUUGAUUUGAAAGCUUGUCAUUAUGUUUUUUUGUGUGUAAAGUGGUCUGUGUUAUUGAUUUUCGUACUUAACCUAUUCUGUUUCUUAAGUUGUAUUUUGGUUGUCAUUGCAUAGAUAUACUGUGUUAUGUCAACACUAUCAUCUGUAUUUAAUCCAGAAAAAGAAGAGAAGAAAAGGAUAAAAUAUAUUUCUGUUAGAAGAAAACUAAUCUAUAUUCAUGACCUUAUUCUGUAAAAUCUAAUAAUCAAUUAUUAAUAUGUUUAAUAUAUAAGAGGUUAAGUCAUUCAUAAUUUUUCUUCAUUAAAAGGAUCUCCUUCACUAGCUAACUUCUGGCACAUUGUCUCUAGCUAGAACACUAUUAUUUUCGGUACAAGAUAUGGCCAUGAGUCAUCAUGUGCGGUAAUGGAAGCUUUUGAUCUUUGUCAGGCUAGAACUUGCAAAGUGCAUUGCAAACCCAUCAUGUGCAGCCAAUGUUGCUUGUCUCCAAACAUGCAACAAUAGACCUGAUGCGACUGAAUGCUAGGUUAGUUCCACAUAUUCCUGUCUGCAACAAUGGGCUAAGCACUUCCAGUGUAGCACAUACUUUAUAUGAUACAUUUCUCUAAACAGCUUUGACAACCAUCUCUUAUUUACUUGUCGUUGGACCAAUAAUCUGGUUAUCUUUCUACUAGUCCUUGUUGUGCCGUUUAUUUAAAGAUAUGAUUUUAUACUUGUACAAUUUGAUGUAAUAUGUUUUUCUUGUAGCUGUAGAUUGAACAUUAGUUCUGGAAAUGGAUCGUUCAACUAUUCAAGUAGUUUGGCAAAUAUGGCACGUUUUUUUUUCGUUGCCAAAAGUAAUACAUUUUUCAACGAAAUUUGGCUUUCGUACAACACAAAAGAGUUUGAGCGAAUGCUUUAUCUAGGAUGUAGUUGAUCCUGAUUCAACACACAGGGAUAUUAAUUUGCCCCCAUUUGACAAAUAUUAUUUAAAAAAUACAAUUACAUCAUGUUCCUACCAGUAGUUCUCUGAACAUGUUGAGUGACCAUUACAUAUUUUUUUGAGGGACCUAGUUGAUCCUGAUUCAACACAGGAAGACAUUAAUUUUCUCCACUUGACAAAAUAUUGUUUAAAGUGCAAUCAUAUCAUAUUCCUCAGUAUUUCUCUGAACAUAUUGAAUGAGUGACAUCAUAUAUUUUAUUGGGAUUGUUGAAAAACUUCUGCACAUCAUGUUUUUUUAGAAUUUGAUAUCUUCGACUACUACAUUCACCGCACAAAUUUUACUUUAAUAUGUAAGAAGCCUCUUGUCAACCUGAAUUGUAUUUUAUUCACUAGGGCAGAUGUACAUGGCUAUCUUGAGCUCUGUACCUACCUAGAUAUCUUAUGACAACUUAUUUAAUCAUUUUCACAUCUUAUACAUGCACAUUGCACAUGGUACCAUCUUGUGUAUGUUUGUCAAACUAGUAUGUACUUCAUGUUAUCUUGUUUAAGGCAUUUUAUUUAGUCAGUUGAAGGACUUUGGAAUCUUUCUAUAUGCUCAACCAUAUAAUAAAUAUUGUGGGUAGUCUGUUGGUUUAAUAAUAUUAGUAUCACGUAGAAACUUUAUUGUCUUUGUGUAUUGAUUUUGGCAUUAAGUGCCUCUGUUGACCUAUUUGUUUUAUUUCUGACUUGCUAUUAUUUUUAAAUAUAUGCAGGAAGACUGUUUCUACGACCUGCCUUACAAUACUGGGUAUCAAAUUUUCGUGCUAUGUUUACGGAAGACAAGGGACAAAAUUGUGAAGUGUACUCCCUAUAUAUGUAGAUAUAUACUUUGAUUGAAGAACUGUGGUAGUUUUAGAUGGUUAAUUGUAAAUAUAAUGAAUGAUUAUGUAGUGGAUGAUUUUAUUAAGUUAAUAAUAUUUUAGUUUUUUGUAUUUUUGUCAUUAUUUUCUAUGGGGACAUUGAGCCAG
Molecule: long non-coding RNA, 3071 nt
Filed under: Panax ginseng (ginseng)
Lineage: Eukaryota; Viridiplantae; Streptophyta; Magnoliopsida; Apiales; Araliaceae
Description: long non-coding RNA (PGIN_LNC004757)
Source: RNAcentral